GGCCGGCUAGCUCAGUUGGUUAGAGCAUGGUGUUGAUAACACCAAGCUCCCAGGUUUGAUCCCUGUACCGGCCA
Molecule: non-coding RNA, 74 nt
Organism: Galeopterus variegatus (Sunda flying lemur)
Lineage: Eukaryota; Metazoa; Chordata; Mammalia; Dermoptera; Cynocephalidae
Source: the annotation of a RefSeq genome assembly